This 460-nucleotide ribosomal RNA is filed under the name uncultured bacterium. RNAcentral describes it as "partial 16S ribosomal RNA". It matches the Rfam family "Bacterial small subunit ribosomal RNA", at positions 338 to 795 of the family's 1533-position model. The record is from RNAcentral.
CCUACGGGUGGCAGCAGUGAGGAAUAUUGGUCAAUGGGCGCGAGCCUGAACCAGCCAAGUCGCGUGAGGGAUGACGGUCCUACGGAUUGUAAACCUCUUUUGCCGGGGAGCAAGCGUGCGUUCGUGAACGCACGUCGAGAGUACCCGGAGAAAAAGCAUCGGCUAACUCCGUGCCAGCAGUCGCGGUAAUACGGAGGAUGCGAGCGUUAUCCGGAUUUAUUGGGUUUAAAGGGUGCGUAGGCGGGAUGCCAAGUCAGCGGUAAAAAUGCGGUGCUCAACGCCGUCGAGCCGUUGAAACUGGCGUUCUUGAGUGGGCGAGAAGUAUGCGGAAUGCGUGGUGUAGCGGUGAAAUGCUUAGAUAUCAGGAGGAACAUCGGUGGCGUAAGCGCUUUACUGGGCCGUAAUUGACGCUGAGGAACGAAAGCCAGGGUAGCAAAUGGGAUUAGAUACCCUAGUAGUC